AUGCAGUAUCUGCUGCACCCCACCCCGAGCCCCAGCAAGUGCUGGGCUCCCAGAAGUGGUCCUAGAGCAGGAGAGCACCCCCACUUACACAGGACACCCUGGCACGGCCAGUACCCCACAUUCAGGGACACCGCAACACUGACAGUACCCCACCUUCACGGACACCCCAACCCUUCCAGUACUCCACCUUCAAGGACACCCCAACACUGCCAGUACUCCACCUUCAGGGACACCCCAACACUGCCAGUACCCCACCUUCACGGACACCCCAACACUGCCAGUACACCACCUUCAAGGACACCCCAACACUGCCAGUACCCCACCUUCACGGACACCCCAACACUGCCAGUACCCCACCUUCACGGACACCCCAACACUGCCAGUACCCCACCUUCAGGGACACCCCAACACUGCCAGCACCCCACCUUCACAGACACCCCAGCACUGCCAGCACCCCUGCCUCUACAGGAUGCCCCAACACUGCCAGUACCCCACCUCCACAGGACACCCCAACACUGCCAGUACUCCACCUUCAAGGACACCCCAACACUGCCAGUACCUCCACCUUCAAGGACACCCCAACCCUUCCAGUACCCCACCUUCACGGACACCCCAACACUGCCAGUACCUCCACCUUCAAGGACACCCCAACCCUUCCAGUACCCCACCUUCAUGGACACCCCAACACUGCCAGUACCCCGCCUUCACGGACACCCCAACCCUUCCAGUACCCCGCCUCCACAGGACACCCCAACACUGCCAGUACCCCACCUUCAGGACACCCCAACACUGCCAGUACCUCCACCUUCAAGGACACCCCAACACUGCCAGUACCUCCACCUUCAAGGACACCCCAACACUGCCAGUACCUCCACCUUCACGGACACCCCAACACUGCCAGUACCCCACCUUCAGGACACCCCAACACUGCCAGCACCCCCGCCUCUACAGGACACCCCAACACUGCCAGUACUCCACCUUCAAGGACAUCCCAACACUGCCAGUACUCCACCUUCAAGGACACCCCAACACUCCCAGUACCCCACCUUACGGACACCCCAACACUCCCAGUACCCUGCCUCCACAGGACACCCCAACACUGCCAGUACCCCACCUUCAAGGACACCCCGGCACGGCCAGCCCUCGGACUGCAGACUCCCCUGGAGUCACCCGGACUCUCACGGGGCUCACUUACCUCCACCUCCCUCGGGAGGACCGGCCUCCAGGGUGCGUAUCAUCGCUCCGCCGCCCUGA
RNAcentral lists this long non-coding RNA (1254 nucleotides) under Bos indicus x Bos taurus (hybrid cattle). Its description in RNAcentral is "lncRNA (ENSBIXG00000022998.1)". The record is from RNAcentral. Lineage: Eukaryota; Metazoa; Chordata; Mammalia; Artiodactyla; Bovidae.